This 353-nucleotide ribosomal RNA is filed under the name uncultured Saccharomycetales. RNAcentral's name for it is "eukaryotic LSU rRNA". The stretch from base 298 to 353 matches the Rfam family "Eukaryotic large subunit ribosomal RNA", at positions 1 to 56 of the family's 3401-position model. Lineage: Eukaryota; Fungi; Ascomycota; Saccharomycetes. The record is from RNAcentral.
CGUAGACUAGGUGAAUCAUCGAAUCUUUGAACGCAACCUGCACUUUCUAGUAUUUAUAUUAGAAAGUAUACUUGUUUGAGUAUCAGAAACAUUUAUCAAAACAAGUUUGUUUUGGAAUUGAGGUCUUUUCUUACGAAAACUCCUUUAAAGUAUCGGAUUGGGUAGAUUUAUUAUAAAUCUUUCCAAUUAGUGUUGUAUUAAACAGUUUGUUUAACGCAUUAAUUAAGGAAUAGAUUUGAUAGAUUUACAUUAUACCAAACCGUCCAUAUUACUAUUUAUUUAGUAUUAUAGAACCUUUGAUCUCAAAUCAAGUAAGACUACCCGCUGAACUUAAGCAUAUCAAUAAGCGGAGG